UUCUAUACCAUAUUAUGAAGAAAAUAGAAGUAAAAAUACAGCCUAUUUAUUUUCUGAAUAAACAUCAAGCUACGGUCGAAGCUCUUGCCUAGUAUCCCUGGAAAAAUAUUGUGUUGGUACAGCCAGUAGUGAAGAUGAAGCAAACAAAGGAGAAAGAAAGAAGUAGAAGAAAGGUUUAUCAGUUGUGAAAGGAAAUUUGGGGGACGUAGGCCUCACCAGCGAAAUCGCAACCACAAAUGUUCGUUAGACUCGCUUUCUCGAUUAUUUUAGAAGGGCGCCAAUUCACCGCUCCAGCCUACGAUGAUCAUCGGGAAGUCGAGUUUAAAC
This is a long non-coding RNA of Phymastichus coffea, 327 nucleotides long. RefSeq lists it as uncharacterized. The record is from RefSeq and is a predicted model, not a curated record. NCBI's taxonomy places the organism in Eukaryota, Metazoa, Arthropoda, Insecta, Hymenoptera, Eulophidae. The transcript has 3 exons.